RNAcentral lists this ribosomal RNA (302 nucleotides) under Dichrometra palmata. RNAcentral describes it as "Lamprometra palmata partial 16S ribosomal RNA". It matches the Rfam family "Bacterial large subunit ribosomal RNA", at positions 2257 to 2643 of the family's 2925-position model. The record is from RNAcentral. Lineage: Eukaryota; Metazoa; Echinodermata; Crinoidea; Comatulida; Mariametridae.
AAUAAAAAUAUCUUUGGUUGGGGCAACCACGAAGAAAAAAAAACCUUCGUUUUAAAAAAAAAUUUACAAAUUUAAAAUUAUUAAAAAAAAAGAUCCAGAAAAUCUGAUCAAAGGAAAAAGUUACCGCAGGGAUAACAGCGUUAUUCUCUUUAAGAGCUCUUAUUGACAAGAGAGUUUGCGACCUCGAUGUUGGACCGGGGCACCCAAGAGAUGUAGCAGCCUCUAAAGGUAGGUCUGUUCGACCUUUAAAGCCCUACGUGAUCUGAGUUCAGACCGACGCAAGUCAGGUCAGUUUCUAUCUA